RNAcentral lists this ribosomal RNA (473 nucleotides) under Escherichia coli. RNAcentral describes it as "bacterial SSU rRNA". It matches the Rfam family "Bacterial small subunit ribosomal RNA", at positions 1 to 470 of the family's 1533-position model. Lineage: Bacteria; Pseudomonadati; Pseudomonadota; Gammaproteobacteria; Enterobacterales; Enterobacteriaceae. The record is from RNAcentral.
AAAUUGAAGAGUUUGAUCAUGGCUCAGAUUGAACGCUGGCGGCAGGCCUAACACAUGCAAGUCGAACGGUAACAGGAAUCAGCUUGCUGAUUCGCUGACGAGUGGCGGACGGGUGAGUAAUGUCUGGGAAACUGCCUGAUGGAGGGGGAUAACUACUGGAAACGGUAGCUAAUACCGCAUAACGUCGCAAGACCAAAGAGGGGGACCUUCGGGCCUCUUGCCAUCGGAUGUGCCCAGAUGGGAUUAGCUAGUAGGUGGGGUAACGGCUCACCUAGGCGACGAUCCCUAGCUGGUCUGAGAGGAUGACCAGCCACACUGGAACUGAGACACGGUCCAGACUCCUACGGGAGGCAGCAGUGGGGAAUAUUGCACAAUGGGCGCAAGCCUGAUGCAGCCAUGCCGCGUGUGUGAAGAAGGCCUUCGGGUUGUAAAGUACUUUCAGCGGGGAGGAAGGGAGUAAAGUUAAUACCUUU